Molecule: microRNA precursor, 178 nt
Filed under: Oryza meridionalis
Lineage: Eukaryota; Viridiplantae; Streptophyta; Magnoliopsida; Poales; Poaceae
Description: MIR812 microRNA precursor family
Rfam family: MIR812 microRNA precursor family
Source: Rfam by way of RNAcentral
AAGAAGAGGAAGGGUGUACUCCCUUGACUUUCCGUUUUAUAUGAAAUUUUUUUAUAAUUCGUAUUUUCAUUAUUAUUAUAUGAUAAAACAUGACUAAUAUUUUAUACGUGACUUAUCUUUUAAUUUUUUUUAUAUUUUUUUAAAUAAGAAGGACGGUCAAAUGUUAGGCACAGAAAUU